CACAUGAAAAUGUUGUGAAGCUUGUGAAUGUGCACAUUAAUCAUGCUGAUAUGUCUCUGUAUCUGGCUUUUGAUUAUGCUGAACAUGAUCUUUAUGAAAUCAUUAGGCAUCACAGAGAUAAGGGUCCCCAUGGUAUCAAUCAGUACACGGUGAAAUCAUUGCUGUGGCAGCUGCUUAAUGGACUGAACUAUCUUCACAGUAAUUGGAUCAUACAUCGAGAUCUAAAGCCAUCAAAUAUCCUGGUUAUGGGUGAGGGAGACGAACAUGGGGUUGUCAAAAUUGCUGACUUUGGACUUGCAAGAAUAUAUCAAGCGCCG
RNAcentral lists this unclassified non-coding RNA (317 nucleotides) under Hevea brasiliensis (rubber tree). Lineage: Eukaryota; Viridiplantae; Streptophyta; Magnoliopsida; Malpighiales; Euphorbiaceae. The record is from RNAcentral.